GAUGAACGCUGGCGGCGUGCCUAAUACAUGCAAGUCGAGCGAACGGACGAGAAGCUUGCUUCUCUGAUGUUAGCGGCGGACGGGUGAGUAACACGUGGAUAACCUACCUAUAAGACUGGGAUAACUUCGGGACACCGGAGCUAAUACCGGAUAAUAUUUUGAACCGCAUGAUUCAAAAGUGAAAGACGGUCUUGCUGUCACUUAUAGAUGCAUCCGCGCUGCAUUAGCUAGUUGGUAAGGUAACGGCUUACCAAGGCAACGAUGCAUAGCCGACCUGCGAGGGUGAGCGGCCACACUGGAACUGAGACACGGUCCAGACUCCUACGGGAGGCAGCAGUAGGGAAUCGUCCGCAAUGGGCGAAAGCCUGACGGAGCAACGCCGCGUGAGUGAUGAAGGUCUUCGGAUCGGAAAACUCUGUUAUUAGGGAAGAACAUAUGUGUAAGUAACUGUGCACAUCUUGACGGUACCUAAUCAGAAAGCCACGGCUAACUACGUG
Molecule: ribosomal RNA, 497 nt
Filed under: uncultured bacterium
Lineage: Bacteria
Description: partial 16S ribosomal RNA
Rfam family: Bacterial small subunit ribosomal RNA
Source: RNAcentral